RNAcentral lists this microRNA precursor (63 nucleotides) under Tursiops truncatus (common bottlenose dolphin). RNAcentral's name for it is "miRNA (ENSTTRG00000025073.1)". Lineage: Eukaryota; Metazoa; Chordata; Mammalia; Artiodactyla; Delphinidae. The record is from RNAcentral.
CCUCUCCCCUCCACCCUCGUCAGCCCUCCACCCUGGGCAGAUGGGAAGGGCUGGAUGCUCGCC